AACGCACAUUGCGCCCGCCAGUAUUCUGGCGGGCAUGCCUGUUCGAGCGUCAUUUCAACCAUCAAGCCCCGGGCUUGUGUUGGGGACCUGCGGCUGCCGCAGGCCCUGAAAACCAGUGGCGGGCUCGCUAGUCACUCCGAGCGUAGUAGUUACACCUCGCUCAGGGCGUGCUGCGGGUUCCGGCCGUGAAACCCCCCAUUUACAAGGUUGACCUCGGAUCAGGUAGGAAGACCCGCUGAACUUAA
Molecule: unclassified non-coding RNA, 245 nt
Filed under: uncultured fungus
Lineage: Eukaryota; Fungi
Description: partial contains 5.8S ribosomal RNA, internal transcribed spacer 2, and large subunit ribosomal RNA
Rfam family: 5.8S ribosomal RNA (bases 1-52)
Source: RNAcentral